GAGGAUUAUCUUGCCUUGCUUUCCAUUCCAUGAAGCACACAACUUCUCAAUAGGCCAUUGCAAAAAGUUCCUAUUUAGUCCUCAAUCUCGGCAAUCAAGCAUGUUCCUUAUUUCGCAGGUAACUGGUGUAGUCAUACUUGGAACCCCCAAAAUAAAGAUAUCAGAUGUCAAGAUAGACAACUAGGGGUAGGAGAAUGAAGAGCCAUGCUGCAAAUUUCUCUGUUUAAGAUGUUGAGGUUGAUUAGUCACCAGCUGCUACGUGGGCUGAUCAAGGAACUACCUGCCGUUUGUCUUCCAUUCCACAAGAGCUAUCAAGCUUG
This 320-nucleotide long non-coding RNA is filed under the name Musa acuminata (dwarf banana). RNAcentral describes it as "long non-coding RNA (MACU_LNC001625)". The record is from RNAcentral. Lineage: Eukaryota; Viridiplantae; Streptophyta; Magnoliopsida; Zingiberales; Musaceae.